GUCCUGACGUGGUACUGUGUUGGUGUGGAACUCGUGGCUGGAAUACCCUGCAGUAAUGCCCCCUUAUUCAGGCCAUCAUGGCAUCGUGAAAAUUACACGCGUGGAGGAAGAGUGUGCCAGCUGUGUGAUCCCAAUCUGUAUAAAGUCUGCUGAGAAAGAAAAAUGAGAAGAAUCAGCAAUGGAUAUCAUCUCAUGCAGAGCCAUCCUGAAAUGAAUU
Molecule: long non-coding RNA, 217 nt
Organism: Haemorhous mexicanus (house finch)
Lineage: Eukaryota; Metazoa; Chordata; Aves; Passeriformes; Fringillidae
Exons: 3
Source: RefSeq, a predicted model, not a curated record